GGGUUGUGAGGUUAAGCGACUAAGCGUACACGGUGGAUGCCCUGGCAGUCAGAGGCGAUGAAGGACGUGCUAAUCUGCGAAAAGCGUCGGUAAGGUGAUAUGAACCGUUACAGCCGGCGAUGUCCGAAUGGGGAAACCCAGUGCAAUUCGUUGCACUAUCGUUAACUGAAUACAUAGGUUAACGAGGCGAACCGGGGGAACUGAAACAUCUAAGUACCCCGAGGAAAAGAAAUCAACCGAGAUUCCCCCAGUAGCGGCGAGCGAACGGGGAGCAGCCCAGAGUCUGAAUCAGCUUGUGUGUUAGUGGAACGGUCUGGAAAGUCCGACGGUACAGGGUGAUAGUCCCGUACACCAAAAUGCACAGGCUGUGAACUCGAAGAGUAGGGCGGGACACGUGGUAUCCUGUCUGAAUAUGGGGGGACCAUCCUCCAAGGCUAAAUACUCCUGACUGACCGAUAGUGAACCAGUACCGUGAGGGAAAGGCGAAAAGAACCCCGGCGAGGGGAGUGAAAAAGAACCUGAAACCGUGUACGUACAAGCAGUGGGAGCACCUUCGGGUGUGACUGCGUACCUUUUGUAUAAUGGGUCAGCGACUUAUAUUCUGUAGCAAGGUUAACCGUAUAGGGGAGCCGCAGGGAAACCGAGUCUUAACUGGGCGUUAAGUUGCAGGGUAUAGACCCGAAACCCGGUGAUCUAGCCAUGGGCAGGUUGAAGGUUGGGUAACACUAACUGGAGGACCGAACCGACUAAUGUUGAAAAAUUAGCGGAUGACUUGUGGCUGGGGGUGAAAGGCCAAUCAAACCGGGAGAUAGCUGGUUCUCCCCGAAAGCUAUUUAGGUAGCGCCUCGUGAA
RNAcentral lists this ribosomal RNA (852 nucleotides) under Klebsiella pneumoniae. RNAcentral's name for it is "partial 23S ribosomal RNA". It matches the Rfam family "Bacterial large subunit ribosomal RNA", at positions 1 to 888 of the family's 2925-position model. The record is from RNAcentral. Lineage: Bacteria; Pseudomonadati; Pseudomonadota; Gammaproteobacteria; Enterobacterales; Enterobacteriaceae.